RNAcentral lists this ribosomal RNA (418 nucleotides) under uncultured bacterium. RNAcentral's name for it is "bacterial SSU rRNA". It matches the Rfam family "Bacterial small subunit ribosomal RNA", at positions 358 to 773 of the family's 1533-position model. The record is from RNAcentral.
GGAAUAUUGGACAAUGGGCGGGAGCCUGAUCCAGCCAUGCCGCGUGCAGGAAGACGGCCCUAUGGGUUGUAAACUGCUUUUACAUGGGAAGAAACACCCCCUCGUGAGGGGGCCUGACGGUACCAUGGGAAUAAGGAUCGGCUCACUCCGUGCCAGCAGCCGCGGUAAUACGGAGGAUCCAAGCGUUAUCCGGAAUCAUUGGGUUUAAAGGGUCCGUAGGUGGGCCGUUAAGUCAGAGGUGAAAUCCUGCAGCUCAACUGUAGAAUUGCCUUUGAUACUGGCGGUCUUGAAUUAUUGUGAAGUGGUUAGAAUAUGUAGUGUAGCGGUGAAAUGCAUAGAUAUUACAUAGAAUACCGAUUGCGAAGGCAGAUCACUAACAGUAUAUUGACACUGAUGGACGAAAGCGUGGGGAGCGAAC